CCUACGUGAGGCAGCAGUGGGGAAUAUUGCGCAAUGGGCGAAAGCCUGACGCAGCGACGCCGCGUGAGGGAUGAAGGUCUUCGGAUCGUAAACCUCUGUCAGCAGGGAAGAACGGUCACUGUGCUAAUCAGCAGUGAAUUGACGGUACCUGCAAAGGAAGCACCGGCUAACUCCGUGCCAGCAGCCGCGGUAAUACGGAGGGUGCGAGCGUUAAUCGGAAUUACUGGGCGUAAAGCGCUCGUAGGCGGUAUGUCAAGUCAAGGGUGAAAUCCCCGCGCUCAACGUGGGAACUGCCUUUGAAACUGGGAAACUGGAGUGUGUGAGAGGAUAGUGGAAUUGCAGGUGUAGGAGUGAAAUCCGUAGAUAUCUGGAGGAAAAUCAGUGGAGAAGGCGAUUAUCUGGCACAUAACUGACGCUGAGGAGCGAAAGCGUGGGUAGCAAACAGGAUUAGAUACCCCAGGAGUC
RNAcentral lists this ribosomal RNA (465 nucleotides) under uncultured bacterium. RNAcentral describes it as "partial 16S ribosomal RNA". It matches the Rfam family "Bacterial small subunit ribosomal RNA", at positions 338 to 795 of the family's 1533-position model. The record is from RNAcentral.